RNAcentral lists this ribosomal RNA (351 nucleotides) under uncultured bacterium. Its description in RNAcentral is "partial 16S ribosomal RNA". It matches the Rfam family "Bacterial small subunit ribosomal RNA", at positions 338 to 706 of the family's 1533-position model. The record is from RNAcentral.
CCUACGGGUGGCAGCAGUAGGGAAUAUUGCUCAAUGGGGGAAACCCUGAAGCAGCAACGCCGCGUGGAGGAUGAAGGUUUUCGGAUUGUAAACUCCUUUUGUUAGAGAAGAUAAUGACGGUAUCUAACGAAUAAGCACCGGCUAACUCCGUGCCAGCAGCCGCGGUAAUACGGAGGGUGCAAGCGUUACUCGGAAUCACUGGGCGUAAAGAGCGCGUAGGCGGGAUAGCCAGUCAGAUGUGAAAUCCUAUGGCUUAACCAUAGAAAUGCCUUUGAAACUGUUAUUCUUGAGUAAUGGAGUGGUAGGUGGAAUUCUUGGGGGAAGGGUAAAAACCGUAGAGAACCAGAAGAA